UUUCCGUAGGUGAACCUGCGGAAGGAUCAUUAUCGUAUCACCGAUGUGUGAGUGCUAUCUUUGACCCGAAAGUUCGUGCACGCCUGAUUGACCUCACACACAUCUAUCCCACCCCUAUGUUCUCCACCACAUGGGUCCCCCUUUGGCUUGUUCGGUGAGGGGCUUACGUUUUCACACAUACUUUGUAUACUAUGUAGAAUGUAUUUUUUGUUUUUGCGAUCACGCAAUCAAUACAACUUUCAACAACGGAUCUCUUGGCUCUC
RNAcentral lists this unclassified non-coding RNA (263 nucleotides) under plant metagenome. Its description in RNAcentral is "partial contains small subunit ribosomal RNA, internal transcribed spacer 1, and 5.8S ribosomal RNA". The record is from RNAcentral.